GACGAACGCUGGCGGCGUGCUUAACACAUGCAAGUCGAACGGAAAGGCCCUGCUUUUGUGGGGUGCUCGAGUGGCGAACGGGUGAGUAACACGUGAGUAACCUGCCCUUGACUUUGGGAUAACUUCAGGAAACUGGGGCUAAUACCGGAUAGGAGCUCCUGCUGCAUGGUGGGGGUUGGAAAGUUUCGGCGGUUGGGGAUGGACUCGCGGCUUAUCAGCUUGUUGGUGGGGUAGUGGCUUACCAAGGCUUUGACGGGUAGCCGGCCUGAGAGGGUGACCGGCCACAUUGGGACUGAGAUACGGCCCAGACUCCUACGCGAGGCAGCAGUGGGGAAUAUUGCACAAUGGGCGGAAGCCUGAUGCAGCAACGCAGCGUGCGGGAUGACGGCCUUCGGGUUGUAAACCGCUUUCGCCUGUGACGAAGCGUGAGUGACGGUAAUGGGUAAAGAAGCACCGGCUAACUACGUG
Molecule: ribosomal RNA, 468 nt
Filed under: uncultured bacterium
Lineage: Bacteria
Description: partial 16S ribosomal RNA
Rfam family: Bacterial small subunit ribosomal RNA
Source: RNAcentral